GGAGGAGCCGGCCUGGCUACGGCAGCGCCGCUGGAAAUGGCGCAGGCCCCGCCCGCGGGGUCUCGUGGGUUCGAAUCCCACCUCCUCCGCC
Molecule: transfer RNA, 91 nt
Filed under: Actinoplanes nipponensis
Lineage: Bacteria; Bacillati; Actinomycetota; Actinomycetes; Micromonosporales; Micromonosporaceae
Description: tRNA-Ser
Source: RNAcentral